GACGAACGCUGGCGGCGUGCUUAACACAUGCAAGUCGAACGGAAAGGCCUCUUUCGGGGGGUACUCGAGUGGCGAACGGGUGAGUAACACGUGAGUAACCUGCCCCUGACUUUGGGAUAACUUCAGGAAACUGGGGCUAAUACCGGAUAGGAGCUCCUGCUGCAUGGUGGGGGUUGGAAAGUUUCGGCGGUUGGGGAUGGACUCGCGGCUUAUCAGCUUGUUGGUGGGGUAGUGGCUUACCAAGGCUUUGACGGGUAGCCGGCCUGAGAGGGGGACCGGCCACAUUGGGACUGAGAUACGGCCCAGACUCCUACGGGAGGCAGCAGUGGGGAAUAUUGCACAAUGGGUGGAAGCCUGAUGCAGCAACGCCGUGUGCGGGAUGACGGCCUUCGGGUUGUAAACCGCUUUCGCUCAUGACGAAGCUUUGUGUGACGGUAGUGGGUAAAGAAGCACCGGCUAACUACGUG
This 467-nucleotide ribosomal RNA is filed under the name uncultured bacterium. RNAcentral describes it as "partial 16S ribosomal RNA". It matches the Rfam family "Bacterial small subunit ribosomal RNA", at positions 28 to 507 of the family's 1533-position model. The record is from RNAcentral.